GACACAUGUGUAGGGAAACAGGUGUAGGGAAACAUGUGUAGGGAAACAGGCAUAGGGACACAUGUGUAGGGAAACAUGUGUAGGGAAACAGGCAUAGGGAAACAUGUGUAGGGAAACAUGAGUAGGGAAACAGGCAUAGGGACACAUGUGUAGGGAAACAGGCGUAGGGAAACAUGUGUAGGGAAACAGGCAUAGGGAAACAUGUGUAGGGAAACAUGAGUAGGGAAACAGGCAUAGGGACACAUGUGUAGGGAAACAGGCGUAGGGAAACAUGUGUAGGGAAACAGGCAUAGGGAAACAUGUGUAGGGAAACAUGUGUAGGGAAACAGGCAUAGGGAAACAUGUGUAGGGAAACAGGCAUAGGGAAACAUGUGUAGGGAAACAGGCAUAGGGAAACAUGUGUAGGGAAACAGGCAUAGGGAAACAUGUUUAGGGAAACAGGCAUAGGGACACAUGUGUAGGGAAACAGGCGUAGG
Oncorhynchus tshawytscha (Chinook salmon) is the source of this 476-nucleotide long non-coding RNA. Lineage: Eukaryota; Metazoa; Chordata; Actinopteri; Salmoniformes; Salmonidae. The record is from Ensembl.